CAUCGGAGACUUUUGGACUCAACCU
This 25-nucleotide microRNA is filed under the name Strongyloides ratti. RNAcentral describes it as "str-miR-87a-5p". Its record names the gene str-miR-87a-5p. Lineage: Eukaryota; Metazoa; Nematoda; Chromadorea; Rhabditida; Strongyloididae. The record is from miRBase by way of RNAcentral.